GACAACUCUAGUCGGGAGGAACGCAAUACUGUCUCAUUAUGCAAUUGCCAAAAGGCUCAAUUAAAGUUGUAGUUGACCCUAUGAGAACUCGCCCCUAGUCGUAGAUUAAUCAAUUUAGGUAUUAGUUGAACAUAUAAACUCAAUUAAAAUUGUAUAAGAACAAAUGUUCAACCUGUUGCAACAGAUAACUUAUCUGUUGGAGUUAAUCAAAUAAAUUAAGUCAUUUAUUAAAAUAG
Molecule: long non-coding RNA, 236 nt
Filed under: Capsicum annuum
Lineage: Eukaryota; Viridiplantae; Streptophyta; Magnoliopsida; Solanales; Solanaceae
Description: long non-coding RNA (CANN_LNC012720)
Source: RNAcentral